UACAGAGGCCUCAAGCGUUGUUCGGAUUCAUUGGGCGUAAAGGGUGCGUAGGCGGUCGGGUAAGUCGGAUGUGAAAUCCUGGGGCUCAACCUCAGAACUGCAUUCGAUACUGCCUGGCUGGAGGAUUGGAGAGGAGAGUGGAAUUCACGGUGUAGCAGUGAAAUGCGUAGAGAUCGUGAGGAAGACCAACGGCGAAGGCAGCUCUCUGGACAAUUCCUGACGCUGAGACACGAAGGCCAGGGGAGCAAACGGG
Molecule: ribosomal RNA, 253 nt
Filed under: uncultured bacterium
Lineage: Bacteria
Description: partial 16S ribosomal RNA
Rfam family: Bacterial small subunit ribosomal RNA
Source: RNAcentral